Molecule: ribosomal RNA, 492 nt
Filed under: uncultured bacterium
Lineage: Bacteria
Description: partial 16S ribosomal RNA
Rfam family: Bacterial small subunit ribosomal RNA
Source: RNAcentral
AGUGAACGCUGGCGGUAGGCCUAACACAUGCAAGUCGAACGGCAGCACAGUAAGAGCUUGCUCUUACGGGUGGCGAGUGGCGGACGGGUGAGGAAUACAUCGGAAUCUACUUUUUCGUGGGGGAUAACGUAGGGAAACUUACGCUAAUACCGCAUACAACCUACGGGUGAAAGCAGGGGAUCUUCGGACCUUGCGCGAUUGAAUGAGCCGAUGUCGGAUUAGCUAGUUGGCGGGGUAAAGGCCCACCAAGGCGACGAUCCGUAGCUGGUCUGAGAGGAUGAGCAGCCACGCUGGAACUGAGACACGGUCCAGACUCCUACGGGAGGCAGCAGUGGGGAAUAUUGGACAAUGGGCGCAAGCCUGAUCCAGCCAUACCGCGUGGGUGAAGAAGGCCUUCGGGUUGUAAAGCCCUUUUGUUGGGAAAGAAAAGCAGCAGGUUAAUACCCCGCUGUUCUGACGGUACCCAAAGAAUAAGCACCGGCUAACUUCGUG